CAGGCAACACUCACUUUAAGAAAUUCUGUAGCAGGAUGCACCAACAAACCCUUCUGUUAUGUUUUGUUCCUAAGAUCUUUUCAGGAAGCCAGCAAGCUAACUUCCAGGGAAAAUGAAAAGACAAGAAAGGAAGACCGUAUGUCAAAAAGAACCUGUCUGGAAUGCAGAAGAGACAGACAUGUUUAGAGCAGCAAAGGAAGAGGAAGAAGGAAGACAUGCUACAGACAGAAGAGACUUCUGGAGUAAGAAGGUGAGUUAAAGACAAGUAGAAGCUGAAUGCAAUGAGAAGUGGUGCUGCAGGCAUCUGAGACUACAUGAAGACAGAAGUGAGCAGCCUGACUUUGUUUCCUGUCAGUACCAGUUACAGCAGCAUGCAACUGAAUUAACAGUCUGCUAUUUUCCAUUUGUCUAAAUGCAAACUUCAGAAUUAUAUUUCUUAAAUACAGGUCACUUGAAUAGACUUCAAAACAGUUGGAUAUUUCCAUAGAAAAUCCUUUUACCAAGACAGAAACUUGUAUAGUUUGGCUGGUGAACAAGCAUUAGAAAUCAGAGAUCAGUCAGAAGGUUUCUUGUUGCCUUGAAACUGGAAACUACCAAACCCUGGUUUAUGUUGGUUCAAAAUGAAGAGUAUUUUAAGGAAGACAUGCAAAAUGAGGAAUUCUAUUUUCAAGGGCAUGUCUGAGCUCAAUUUUCAUGGAAGAUCCAAUUAUGAACAUGUGGAAAUGAAAAGCUUGAUGCCUGUAGAUCCAGUGCCACAAAUGUCUAUCAUAGACAGUAUGAUUCAUCCUUGGGAACCUGCUGUAAACGAGACUGCUAGGACUAAGGACACAGAUUUGUCAGAACUCUUGAAAUUUAGAUCCCUUUAAGAUCUUAUCUGCUUCUCUAAAAAUGUCAACAAUCUCCAUUUCAUGUCAGUAUUCACUCUAAAACUGCAUUGGUCUCUCAUGAAAUAGGAAGAACCUUUAUGUAAAAGGUCGUGUUGUACAUGAUUUCUUGAUGUCUCUGAUGAUGUCCAGGUGUCCCUGCUUGAACAUGGAGGUUGGACCAGGUGACCUCCAGAGGUCUAACCUCAACUAUUCUGUGAUUCUGAGAUACAAUAGGAAGGAGGUAAUCCAUGGUAACAAGAAGAGGUAUCCAUUCUCUGUCUGAGCCAGUGUUUAGGCCCUGUGUUCCAGACAUCCCCAAGAAGUUAACAGAAUUCAGUGCCUGCAAGAGCACACAAGUGUUCUCAGAAAGAGUCCUUGGCUUAAGCUGAAAUCUUACUCCUGGUGUGGCAGAAGUCAAAAAUUGCAAGUUGGAGAUUGUUUCCUUUUUCUUAAUAGAAAGCAACAGUAAUUUUUUCUCAAGUAAAAAAUAAAGGAAUUCCUGAAGAUAUUUUUAAAGAAAUAAAUGUUUAACAGGCGUGUAAAACAGAUGUCCUAUAGAAGCUUUAGUUUCUACUAAGCAGCCAAUGGUGGGAUGUAGUUAUGGUUACCAAAUAGCUGAAGAUAAGCAUAGAGGUAGAUGUAUACUGUUUCUUUUGUCUCCUGGGGGAAAAAAUGACAGAACAUAAAUAUUUUACAAAACUUUUCAGUCCUGCUUACAUAAAUUGCCUGGCAUUUAAGAAGCUUAAGAUCUAAUUAAUUUUUUUUAUUCCCUUCCCUUUUAAAUUGGGAAGCUUUCUGCUCAUAUAGGCAGUUUUAAAACUAUAUUUUGUAAGUUAUUUUUAAAAUGGUACUUUUAGUAACUCAAGAGUACCUAAAAUACCUGAUAGAGUACAGUGAGACUGUAAGUAAAAUUAAACAGUAAAAAUUCAAAAAAAGGAUUUUCAUAAUUUUGCAUUAGAACUAACAGAAUAACUUCAAAUUCCAUUUCAGACUCACCAUGUCAUAUUUCAAGAGUACUGUUAACACCUGAAAAAACUUGGAUAAAAUCAGACACUUUUGUCAGAGUAGCUUACACGUUCUCUGCACAUUUGUCAAGAUAAACUAUAUAUAUUUAUACUGUAUGAUAGCACCAUAUAACAAGUCAUACCAAACACCAUGCUUUCUUUAUGCUUUAUGUUUUUUUGUAGCAGGAGACUUUCAAUAAAUAAAAGGGCUUACCUUUAAAAAUACUAGGCCAGGUGAGCAGCCUACAGAGUGCAUAUGGUUCAUGGCACCAUUGUGUAUGUCCUGGUGACUUCUCUACUGUGGAUUCUCCCAGGCGUUACUGACAGUGAAUAAAAGCCAUCAAUUUGUUGUGCAACUUGUGAGCCUGCACAUGAAAUCUCUAGGUUUCUUGAAUUACCUCCUGCAUCCAUGUUGGAAGGGGCUGCUGUUUGACUUCUGGAAGUGAUCAGCCAGACAAGAUAGGGAAGAGAUAUAAGGAGGCACAGACAAAUAGGAAAGGGACAUACUUUAUGGAGAAGAGGCAUAUGGUAAUGAAAUAAUGUGUCUAAGAUCUUAUGAGCUGUGUAAAUCAGAAAAAUAAGCAAACCAGACUUUGCUCCUGUGCUCUGGCCAUAAAAUAUUUCUCACCUCUCCUAGGUUUUCCCCUGAAACUUUUUCCUCCAAUAGAUGAUUUUUUCCUUCUUAUAAACAUGCAAUGAAUGGAAAUUUUAUAUUCUGCCUUCAACAAGUAUCAGAUACCUGUUAAUGCUAAUAAAAGCCGUGACAA
Molecule: long non-coding RNA, 2637 nt
Organism: Falco peregrinus (peregrine falcon)
Lineage: Eukaryota; Metazoa; Chordata; Aves; Falconiformes; Falconidae
Exons: 2
Source: RefSeq, a predicted model, not a curated record